Solanum tuberosum (potato) is the source of this 1739-nucleotide long non-coding RNA. RefSeq lists it as uncharacterized. The record is from RefSeq and is a predicted model, not a curated record. The transcript has 2 exons. NCBI's taxonomy places the organism in Eukaryota, Viridiplantae, Streptophyta, Magnoliopsida, Solanales, Solanaceae.
UAUAUUAAUUUGCGCUGUUUUCUUCGCCGGCCGCCGCCUCAAUUUGGUGCUUCUUUUUAUUGAUUACGAUUUUUGUUUGAAGCUUUUUUGUUCAUUGAAAUCAGGUGAUGAGAAAAAAACUGCAACAAUAUGAUGGUAAAUUCCAUGAUUCGUAGUAUUUAAGUCUCUGAUGAUUUCUUUAUAUAUCUGUAACAGAAUUAGAUUUUGGUGUUAGAUUAAUUUCUGGAGUUUUGUUGUUUUGGUUAUAGUAUUUGGGAGAUAUGAUGAACGAAAUUGGUCCGUGUUUCUGAUUGAACAGUGACAGAUAACACCUUUCUUUUUUACUCUACUGAUCUCUCAUUAUUAUUGAGUAUUAUUUUAUAUUUUUAUAUUUUAUUGCCAGAUUUGUGAAAAAUAGCUCAGUGAUUGUAUGCCUUGUGGCAAUAUACGCUAUACCGAUCUAAAGCAUGAGUAGAUAAAAAAAUUUCAAGUAUGAGAGCUAUUUGUAUUUUCCUAUUUGAAACUGUUUUAAUGUGAAUUUUUUGAAAAUUAUUUGGGUCUUCUGCUGUGAUGAAUUCAUGAAAAUUUCACAUGUCAGACUUCAGAGAGAAAUCUAUGAGAAGAUAUUCAUGUAUCUGAGCAAAAUUUACACUUUUUAUAGUUUUACAUCACAUUAUACCAUUGAUUGUUUGCAACUUAUGUGUUUACAUGAUUUAAAUUUUUGCUAAUGGUUAUGAAUCACAGAAAUUCCUUUGCUAAGUUUUGGAUGUUGUUAAUUAUGGCUUCACACAAGAGUCUGCAGCAGGUGCCUGUUAAUGGUAACCCGUCUGCCGCAUGAAGCCUAAACAAAUCCAAGAUGAAGAUCCAUUAGAGUUAAUUGUACUCUCUUGACACAAUAUCUUGGAUAUAUUUAUAUAUAUACACUGUUUUCAAUGGCAUAUCUCAGACAACGGGUAUUUUCUUCUUAUUUCUAUGAGAAACUACCUUUUGCACGGUGCCUAGAUAACGCUACUUAUCACGAUUGGAGGAUGUUAAUUUUUAUCCCCAGCAUUCCUUCAAAUUAAUAGUAGUCAAAUUAUUUUAAGCAUUGAUGAGAUAGCGAACAUGUAAGGAGAUCUAUUUUAAGCUUGGAUCAGCUUGGAUCUUCAAUGAAAUUUUCUUGUUACGCUUGGCUUCUGAGCUUUCUACUCUUGAACUUGAACUUACUUUUUAAAAAACCUGAUUAAAAAAGCAGGGAUCUAUUGCCUUCUUUGUGAAUGGGUCUCUCGUAAAUGUCAGGGAUAUCAAGAAUUGCAUUGUUAUUGGGUGAACCACUUGACUUAAUUUAUGAUGGAAUGGUUCAGUAAACGAUGAUACAUUAUUAUUUAGGUCAAUUUUGUAUUAGAUGUAUCUGAUUUAGUCAUUUAACAAUUGUCGAAGAAUCUGAAAUACUUGAAUUAGUACAAUUUUACUGGAUGAUAAAAUCGAAAUCAGAUGAUGAGAAAAAAACUGCAACAAUAUGAUGUAUUUGGGAGAUGUGAUGAAUGAAAUUGGUCCGUGUUUCUGAUUGAACAGUGACAGAUAACACCUCUUUUUUUUACUCUUCUGAUCUCCCAAAUUUUUCUAUUACACUUUUUAGUCUUUUUUUUUUAGAUUUGUGAGAUACAGUAGCUCAAUGAUGGCAUGCCUUGUACUAAUAUAUCAUGUGACUAAUGUGAUUAUUUUACUGUAUUGCCAUACGAUAUAUUCAAUUUGUUUUUAAUGUGAUUGUGUUAUUUGGA